GUCUAUGGCCAUGCCACCCUGAACAAGCCCGAUGUCUGAUCUCAGAAGCUAAGCAGGAUUGGGCCUGGUCAGUACUUGGAUGGGAGACCGCCUAGGAAGACCAAGUGCUGUAGGCA
Molecule: ribosomal RNA, 116 nt
Filed under: Pteropus alecto (black flying fox)
Lineage: Eukaryota; Metazoa; Chordata; Mammalia; Chiroptera; Pteropodidae
Source: RNAcentral